GGGGGCGUAGCUCAGCUGGUUAGAGCGCCGGCCUGUCACGCCGGAGGCCGCGGGUUCGAGUCCCGUCGCUCCCGCCA
This 77-nucleotide transfer RNA is filed under the name Actinobacteria bacterium ADurb.BinA094. Its description in RNAcentral is "tRNA-Asp". It matches the Rfam family "tRNA". Rfam says of the family: Transfer RNA (tRNA) molecules are approximately 80 nucleotides in length. Their secondary structure includes four short double-helical elements and three loops (D, anti-codon, and T loops). Lineage: Bacteria; Bacillati; Actinomycetota. The record is from RNAcentral. RNAcentral also lists the same sequence under 4 other names.